CACGCAUAACGCAGUAACAUUGCAAGACUCGAUCAGAGUACACAUUGAGUGAAUAAAGACGAUUCCAUUCUGAACUAAGGAAUAAAGCAGUUGUGUUUUUCUCAAGAUAUAUUCCCUGCGACAUAUCAUUUUGGCGACGAGGAUGAACUUUAGAUGAAGCUUUGCAGACUUUUUUGCAAGUUUAUCGAACCACACCUACACCAGAUAAGUCUCCAGCUGAAUUGAUGUUUCAGCGGCCUAUUCGAACAGUUCAGUCAUUAUUACUACCUCCAGUUUCACGGUCACGAAAUGAAAAGCCAGAAGCUGGUAGAAAAUUCUUCGAUCCUGGAGAAGCGGUUUAUGCCCAAGUCCACCGCAAUAAUUCCUGGGAGUGGAAACCGGCAUCAAUAGUCGAACGAGUCGGUAGAGUGAAUUACAACGUGUUUUUGGAAGACAACCAGCGAAUUAUUCGCUCACAUGCAAAUCAACUGAAGAAGCGUCUACAGGAGGAAACAUCGUGUGGAAAUAGAAAUUGUCACGACACUGGAAAUUUGUUAACUAUUUUCUUUGACGAAUUUGAAUUGGGAACUCCACAGGCAGUUGAAAACUCAAUUGAAAUGACUGAACAAGAACAUUACUAUUCAGCUGAUGAAGAGUCCGCUGAAGAAAUUGAAGGAGAAAAUUGGCAAACAUCAUCGUCCACAGUUACUACUCAAGCCACUCCACCAAUGCCUGCAUCUUCUGCUCAACCCGUGAAAGCGGAAAGACCUCGAAGAAUUCGUAGGCCACCAGCCAGGUUUGAACCGUAUUGGUGAAUUAAGGGGGGAGAUGUUGCAUAGUAACACGCAUAACGCAGUAACAUUGCAAGACUCGAUCAGAGUACACAUUGAGUGAAUAAAGACGAUUCCAUUCUGAACUAAGGAAUAAAGCAGUUGUGUUUUUCUCAAGAUAUAUUCCCUGCGACAUAUCAGAAAGUAUGCUCGUCGAAAGGGGAUGAGUCGUCGGUUGCUGAGGGGUUCCGUGUGAUUGAAGGACAGCAGUAAAGAGUUCAUCAUAACACGAGGUGAUCGAAAGGCAGGACACAAAGCAUUGGCGCUCUUGACGCACGUUUCCUGUGAGAUGGUUUCGUAUUUUUCUUUCCAUUCCGGUUACGGUGCUGGUGUGGCUACACGAGCGGGGCGCGUGUGCCCGACUUCAAACCAUGCCGGCUCAUCGCAACAAAGCGAGUACUCACCGAGGCUGAGGUAGUUAUUAUUAUGAUUAACGCAAUGCAUGUUUGCUGGCACGGGUCCUUGAACAAAAAAACAGAAGCAUAUUAUCGACUGUUGGCCAGUGUUUCGAUAAGAAGCGCAGUGUGCAAAAAGCAAAAGUGCGAAAAGUGCGUUAGAAGGUGAAGGUAAAGCGCGAUUGAAAAGAGGAUCAGAAUUAGACAGAUCAGUUAACCAAAAAAAAAAAAGAGAGAGAAGAGAAUCGGUAACAAAAAAACAACACCCGAACAUGUUCGAGGAAAACAUCGUUGGGUCCAUUUUCAUGAAAACACUACGUGCGACGUGUUUUGGCAGUUUGGCACGUGGCGACCGGUUGAUGGCAAAAUAGAAAGGUAGCGCAAAAUGCGCUCUUGACAAACGAUACACGGCUGCGUAAUGAUACUUUACAGUGCGUCUGCCAUUGUGGAGUUGUAGUUAGGGAGGAGGUUGGUUGAAGUGCUGAUUUCCUGACUCGUGUUCUCGGCGGUGGAGUGUUACGAUUGGAUUACACGUGAUACCCGGUGGAAAUGGAAGUAAUGGAUGGAAAUACCAUGCGGUGAUAAAGU
This is a long non-coding RNA of Anopheles merus, 1792 nucleotides long. RefSeq lists it as uncharacterized. The record is from RefSeq and is a predicted model, not a curated record. The transcript has 3 exons. NCBI's taxonomy places the organism in Eukaryota, Metazoa, Arthropoda, Insecta, Diptera, Culicidae.